Zalophus californianus (California sea lion) is the source of this 2695-nucleotide long non-coding RNA. RefSeq lists it as uncharacterized. The record is from RefSeq and is a predicted model, not a curated record. The transcript is spliced from 4 exons. NCBI's taxonomy places the organism in Eukaryota, Metazoa, Chordata, Mammalia, Carnivora, Otariidae.
UCAGGCGGUGCCUUCGCCGGGACGUAGAGACACGGGGGACAGUGUGGAAGGACGCGGAAGGCAGACCGGCCCUCCGUGGGACACCCCCCCACACCCGCCGGCCCUGCCAGGGCGGCUGUGAGCAGGGCCGGCACCUCCAGCCCUUUGCCUACCUCUCGCAUGUUCCCCUCCGGCCGAGCCUGCCCUGAGGGAAGUGGAGGCAGGCCCCGGGCACCCCAGCGCAGGCCACGGACGUGCAGGAGGAAGGAAGCUCUCGUGCGGUAAGAGCUGUGCCAGUGGGGCCAGGACUUCUGGAUUCCAGUCCAGGCCCCGUUUAUUUGCUACAGCCUUGAGCCUGGGAUGCUUCAUCUUCUAUGCAAAGAAGAUGGUCCUAUGUCAGGGGGUGGACUGUAAGGGUCUAGUCCUAUUGCCCCACAGUGGAGCGCUUUCCAGGUGCGGGAUGCUGCUGAGCAGUUCAUCUGCAUCAUCAAGGGCGGCAGACAGAGUCUGAGCAUGCUCUGCAAAGCACUGCCUUCACGCCCAGGGCUGCUAUAACCAAGGACCAACAGCUUGGUGGCUUCACACAACAGAAACGUAGUCACUCACAAUCCCGGAGGCCAGCAGUCUGCAGCCGGGGUGUCGGCAGGGCCGUGCUCCCUGCAGGGGCUCUGGGGAGAGUCCAUUCCUUGCCUCCCGUGACUUCUGGUGGCUGCUGGCGGGCACGUCACUCCGCCUUCUCACGGACUUCUAUUCCGUGUGUGUUCAAUUUCCCUCCACCUCUCCUUCGUAAGGACGCUGGUGAUUGGAUUGAGGCUCCCCUCGGACCAGCUCGGAUCGUCUCUCCACAUCAGCAUCCUUGCGUUAGUCACAACCGCAAGGACUUUGCCCUCAUGUAUAGGCUCCAGGGAUUAGGACUUAAGAUCACUGGGCGGUCGUUAUUCAGCCGGCCGUGGUCCGUCCUCCGGCUGCCGAAGAGUCCCGUCUACCCUACGUGCAAAAUAUAGUCACCCACAUCCCUGAGAGGUUCAACCCAUGACAGCUUCAACUCAGGCAACCUCUCCGCACCGGCGCUGGCUUUGGACCCCGGCCACCAGAAGGCAGGCUGUGUCCCUGACUCACCGACGUGCCAGAGACCGUCUCUGCCUGAACGGGCUUCUGAAAGGGGAGAAGUCUUCCACGAGUUGGAUUUUCUGCCUCUUGGGCCAAGCUGGCUGAAAGAAAAGGACAGCCGUGAAAGAGAAAGGAGAAAAAAAUGGGAGCCGGCCUGUCCCAGCCCGGAGCUCAGGGGCCAAACGGGAUUCGAUCUUCUGGAUUAGCGCUCAGCUCAGGACCUGAUUCUUCGCUCCCAUGAAGCUCUCACCGUCCAUAUUUGAAGGCUUUAUGCCCCUCUUAUUCUUUGAUCCUCUACUUUGAUUUUCAAGCUCCCAAAGGAACUGCAAUAUGCCGCAAGGUUUGAGACUUGCCAGCGUCAUACGGACAGCUGGGUUUCGGUUCUGCUGACCACAAGCUGUGAACAUGGCUUAACACAGCCCCACUUGGUGCACUGGGUGACAAGGUGGAAGUGACCGCUGAAUGAGAUCAUUCAUGGAGCAGCGAGCACGGUUUCUGGCCGACUGCAGGCCCUCCAUAAGCAGGAGCUCUCACCGUACAAAGCGGCAGCCUACUCACGCCCCCCAACCGGUGCCCGAGCACACGGGGUAGGAGUGCUGGAAGGAGGUCCGGAAUGCUGGGAAGCUCACCCUCUGAUGUGACCUCGGAGGCCCCAUCCUGUGAAGGCCACCCCCAGGGAUGGGCUCCGGCCUACUGUCUCUGUGCCCAUCUGGUUUGGAGCUGGCAGGAGGCUGAACCGAGCUGUGCGUGGGGAUCUGGGGAUUCCUGAGGGCACCGGCCUUUGUAUGAGUUUAUAAGGCCGCAGCGAUCACGAAGUACCCCACACUGAGGGGCUUAAGCAACAGAAAGUCCCUCUGUGUGUGUGUGUGUGUGUGUGUGUGUGUCCUGAUCUCUUCUUAUAAGGACGCCAGUCCCAUUGGAUCAGGGCCCUCCCCAAAGACCUCAUUUAACCUUAAAGACCCUGUCUCCAAACACAGUCACAUUCUGAUGUGCUGGGAGUUAGCACUGCAACAAAUGAAUGGGGUGGGGGUGGGGGGCACAGUUCACUCUGGGGAGGGAUAUGAUACUCUGCUUUAUGAUCCCCCAAAUUACGUCCUUCUUAUACGCAAAAUACAUUCACCCCAUCCCAACAGCCCCACAGGUCUGGACCCAUUCCAGCACUGACUGUAAGGUCCAAACGCUCAUCCAAACAUAAAGCAGGUACAUGCGAACGAGAGGUAAGGUUACUCUCGACCAUCUCCAGCUGUUGUCUUGAACCAGACAACCAGUUGAAAGAGGACUUCAACCACCUCCAUUUUGACCUCAGUCUGUACUAAGUAAAUUCUUUCCAGCUUAUCUCUUAAGGCGGGCAAGCAUCCCGGGCCCGAAACGGAAACCACCUCUGGCGCAGGCGGGGCUGCCGGGAGCCAGCAAGACCCCGCGGGACCGGCCGCCAGAAGCCCACCAGCCAGACAGCGAUGCCCGACCGCCACGCCCCGCUGCCUGGUCCCACCGACCUCGGUCCCGCAUUCUCCUGACAGAAACUCAGAAGUACUUUCCGUGCUUCGAAGACAGUCUUUGAGACGCGAGUGCGCUGUCUUGCUGGUGUUGGCCUCACUGGAAUAAA